Molecule: ribosomal RNA, 327 nt
Filed under: uncultured eukaryote
Lineage: Eukaryota
Description: partial 18S ribosomal RNA
Rfam family: Eukaryotic small subunit ribosomal RNA
Source: RNAcentral
CCCUUAGAUGUUCUGGGCCGCACGCGCGCUACACUGACGAAUGCAACGAGCUUAUAACCUUGGCCGAAAGGUCUGGGUAAUCUCCAAAUUUCGUCGUGAUGGGGAUAGAUUAUUGCAAUUAUUAAUCUUCAACGAGGAAUGCCUAGUAAGCGCAAGUCAUCAGCUUGCGUUGAUUACGUCCCUGCCCUUUGUACACACCGCCCGUCGCUCCUACCGAUUGAAUGGUCCGGUGAAGCGUUCGGACCUUGGCCUUUGGACGGUUCGCCGUCUGUUGGCUGCGGGAAGUUCGUUAAACCUUAUCAUUUAGAGGAAGGAGAAGUCGUAACA